GGUGGCUCAUUGGUAGAGCACUUGCCUUGCAUGCAUUAGGCCCUGGGUUCGAUUCCUCAGCACCA
RNAcentral lists this transfer RNA (65 nucleotides) under Dipodomys ordii (Ord's kangaroo rat). It matches the Rfam family "tRNA". Rfam says of the family: Transfer RNA (tRNA) molecules are approximately 80 nucleotides in length. Their secondary structure includes four short double-helical elements and three loops (D, anti-codon, and T loops). Further hydrogen bonds mediate the characteristic L-shaped molecular structure. tRNAs have two regions of fundamental functional importance: the anti-codon, which is responsible for specific mRNA codon recognition, and the 3' end, to which the tRNAs corresponding amino acid is attached (by aminoacyl-tRNA synthetases). tRNAs cope with the degeneracy of the genetic code in two manners: having more than one tRNA (with a specific anti-codon) for a particular amino acid; and 'wobble' base-pairing, i.e. permitting non-standard base-pairing at the 3rd anti-codon position. The record is from Rfam by way of RNAcentral. Lineage: Eukaryota; Metazoa; Chordata; Mammalia; Rodentia; Heteromyidae.